AUUGAACGCUGGCGGCGUGCCUAACACAUGCAAGUCGAGCGGUAACAGGUGUAGCAAUACAUGCUGACGAGCGGCGAACGGGUGAGUAAUGCUUCGGAAUCUGCCCAUGUAGUGGGGAAUAACCAGCCGAAAGGUUGGCUAAUACCGCAUACGACCUACGGGUGAAAGCAGGGGAUCGCAAGACCUUGCGCUAUUGGAUGAGCCGAAGUCGGAUUAGCUGUUGGUAGGGUAACGGCCUACCAAGGCGACGAUCCGUAGCUGGUCUGAGAGGACGACCAGCCACACUGGGACUGAGACACGGCCCAGACUCCUACGGGAGGCAGCAGUGGGGAAUAUUGGACAAUGGGGCAACCCUGAUCCAGCGACGCCGCGUGUGUGAAGAAGGCCUGCGGGUUGUAAAGCACUUUUAGUGGGGAUGAAAGCACAUGGCUAAUAUCCGUGUGUCUUGACCUAACCCAAAGAAAAGCACCGGCUAACUCUGUGCCAGCA
RNAcentral lists this ribosomal RNA (489 nucleotides) under uncultured bacterium. RNAcentral's name for it is "bacterial SSU rRNA". It matches the Rfam family "Bacterial small subunit ribosomal RNA", at positions 30 to 513 of the family's 1533-position model. The record is from RNAcentral.